RNAcentral lists this ribosomal RNA (489 nucleotides) under uncultured bacterium. RNAcentral's name for it is "bacterial SSU rRNA". It matches the Rfam family "Bacterial small subunit ribosomal RNA", at positions 8 to 507 of the family's 1533-position model. The record is from RNAcentral.
AGAGUUUGAUCAUGGCUCAGGAUGAACGCUGGCGGCGUGCCUAAUACAUGCAAGUCGAACGAGGUGCUUUUGUAGCAAUACGAGAGUAUCCUAGUGGCGAACGGGUGAGUAACGCGUUGGUGACCUACCCCAAAGUGUGGGAUAACAGUCCGAAAGGAUUGCUAAUACCGCAUGUGGUCUUCGGGUUUAGAAACUGAUGACUAAAGGAGCAAUUCGCUUUGGGAGGGACCUGCGUCCCAUCAGCUAGUUGGUGAGGUAAUGGCUCACCAAGGCUACGACGGGUAGGGGACCUGAGAGGGUGACCCCCCACAAUGGAACUGAAACACGGUCCAUACACCUACGGGUGGCAGCAGUAGGGAAUAUUGCACAAUGGGCGAAAGCCUGAUGCAGCAACGCCGCGUGUGCGAUGAAGGCCUUCGGGUCGUAAAGCACUUUUCUGGGAGAUGAGCAAGGACAGUAUCUCAGGAAUAAGUCUCGGCUAACUACGUG